CCUANGGGUGGCAGCAGUAAGGAAUAUUGGUCAAUGGACGCAAGUCUGAACCAGCCAUGCCGCGUGAUGGAUGACGGCCCUAUGGGUUGUAAACUUCUUUUGUACGGGAAAAAACCCCCGAUCGUGAUCGGGGCUGAUGGUACCGUAAGAAUAAGCAUCGGCUAACUCCGUGCCAGCAGCCGCGGUAAUACGGAGGAUGCAAGCGUUAUCCGGAUUCAUUGGGUUUAAAGGGUGCGUAGGCGGAUUGAUAAGUCAGUGGUGAAAUCCUACAGCUUAACUGUAGAACUGCCAUUGAUACUGUUAGUCUUGAGUACAUUUGAAGUGGGCGGAAUGUGUCAUGUAGCGGUGAAAUGCUUAGAUAUGACACAGAACACCGAUAGCGAAGGCAGCUCACUAAACUGUAACUGACGCUGAGGCACGAAAGCGUGGGGAUCAAACAGGAUUUAGAUACCCCANUANUC
RNAcentral lists this ribosomal RNA (461 nucleotides) under uncultured bacterium. RNAcentral describes it as "bacterial SSU rRNA". It matches the Rfam family "Bacterial small subunit ribosomal RNA", at positions 338 to 795 of the family's 1533-position model. The record is from RNAcentral.